AGCAUGGGCAGGGGCAGUCUGCUAAAUCAUCUACGCAGAACCUCUAAUGUCAAAAAUUCAGCAGACCCAGCCAAUACUAAUAAUGAGUAAAAAGCAAACGAGUAAAUGGAGUGUGUUCCAGGAUGGGCUAAUAGAGCUCCAGGGAAAGCUGGGUUAUGGGAGUGAGUGGACUGCACGUGGGAGGAAGGAAGAACUCAGGGUCACUAAAGGAGCAGCUUCCUGACCUGGGAGUAUUUGGCAGGAAUCUUCAGGUAUUGGAUCCUGAUACAGACCAGAUAUUCUGGAAUUCUCUCUCCAACAAAAGAUUACUUCAAGGCCAGAACACACUCCCAGCUAGAGAUCCAAGGUAAGAUUAAUUGAGAUUAAUUUGUAACCUGGUUGGGCCCAUGGUGGUGUUGGCCCCUUCAUCAGAUGGGCCCCUUCACCAGAUGGGGACAAUCAUUCAAGAUGAGCCAUCAGAGCAAAUCAUGCCACCUGGGACCUCCUCGCUCCCCCAACCCCUGCCUCUUCUGCACCCCA
Molecule: long non-coding RNA, 519 nt
Filed under: Homo sapiens (human)
Lineage: Eukaryota; Metazoa; Chordata; Mammalia; Primates; Hominidae
Description: non-protein coding lnc-CGA-5:2
Source: RNAcentral